This 93-nucleotide transfer RNA is filed under the name Lentzea sp. NBRC 105346. RNAcentral describes it as "tRNA-Gly". The record is from RNAcentral. Lineage: Bacteria; Bacillati; Actinomycetota; Actinomycetes; Pseudonocardiales; Pseudonocardiaceae.
UGCCGAGGUGGCCGACGCGGCGCGGACGGCGACGCCGUCGUCGUGGAGCCAGCAGGUGUCACUGCUGCAGAUCGCUUCCGCGCUGCGGUGGCC